This 53-nucleotide transfer RNA is filed under the name Biomphalaria straminea. Its description in RNAcentral is "tRNA-Lys". The record is from RNAcentral. Lineage: Eukaryota; Metazoa; Mollusca; Gastropoda; Planorbidae.
UGCAAUAUUGCAAUAAACUUUUAAUUUAUCUUUUCAGUUAUCUGAUGUUGCGU